Hemibagrus wyckioides is the source of this 115-nucleotide small nuclear RNA. RefSeq annotates it as U5 spliceosomal RNA. Lineage: Eukaryota; Metazoa; Chordata; Actinopteri; Siluriformes; Bagridae. The transcript has a single exon. The record is from RefSeq and is a predicted model, not a curated record.
UAGUUCUGGUUUCUAUUAAGUAGCGCAGAAGUUUUUCGCCUUUCAUUAAAGAUUUCCUUGGAGAGGAACAUCAAUGAGCUUGAUGUAUUUUCAUGAGCUUUGCUCUGGCAAAGCU